RNAcentral lists this ribosomal RNA (279 nucleotides) under uncultured bacterium. RNAcentral describes it as "partial 16S ribosomal RNA". It matches the Rfam family "Bacterial small subunit ribosomal RNA", at positions 506 to 784 of the family's 1533-position model. The record is from RNAcentral.
UGCCAGCCGCCGCGGUAAGACGGAGGGUGCUAGCGUUGUUCGGAAUCACUGGGCGUAAAGGGCGCGUAGGCGGCGCCGGCAGUCGACCGUGAAAGCCCGGGGCUCAACCCCGGAGGUGCGGUCGAGACGCCGGUGCUGGAGGCCGGAAGAGGAGGGUGGAAUACCCAGUGUAGAGGUGAAAUUCGUAGAUAUUGGGUGGAACACCGGUGGCGAAAGCGGCUCUCUGGUCCGGACCUGACGCUGAGGCGCGAAAGCGUGGGGAGCAAACAGGAUUAGAUA